RNAcentral lists this ribosomal RNA (402 nucleotides) under uncultured bacterium. RNAcentral's name for it is "bacterial SSU rRNA". It matches the Rfam family "Bacterial small subunit ribosomal RNA", at positions 28 to 430 of the family's 1533-position model. The record is from RNAcentral.
AUUGAACGCUGGCGGCAUGCUUUACACAUGCAAGUCGAGCGGCAGCGCGGGGGCAACCCUGGCGGCGAGCGGCGAACGGGUGAGUAAUGCAUCGGAACGUACCCUGGAGUGGGGGAUAACGCCGCGAAAGCGGCGCUAAUACCGCAUAUGCUCUGAGGAGGAAAGUGGGGGACCGCAAGGCCUCACGCUCUGGGAGCGGCCGAUGUCCGAUUAGCUAGUUGGUGAGGUAAAGGCUUACCAAGGCGACGAUCGGUAGCUGGUCUGAGAGGAUGAUCAGCCACACUGGGACUGAGACACGGCCCAGACUCCUACGGGAGGCAGCAGUGGGGAAUUUUGGACAAUGGGGGCAACCCUGAUCCAGCCAUGCCGCGUGAGUUGAAGAAGGCCUUCGGGUUGUAAAGG